GGACAACAGCGCCAUGGUCACCGCGGCCAUCAGCAGCAACAGGAAGCUCUACCAGCUCAUCACCCGCUGCCACCUCACUUAUCGCACCCUGAUAAUCACACGCCACCACCUCAUGCUCACUUGCCAUCCCCUACUCACUACUUACCACCACCCCUAUCUCAGCACACACCACCACCUCCGACACAACAUACACCAUCACCUCACUUACCAUCUCCUGCUCAUCACGCGCCACCACCUCCAUGUCACCCGACACUACCUCCUUACUUGCCAUCCCCUGCGCACAACUCAGCACCGCCCCCAACUCACUACACACCGCCUCAUCACCUGCCAUUCCCGUCGCCACCUCCGGCUCAACACGCACCACCAUCUCACUUAUCAUCUCCACCGCCACCUUCGGCGCAACACAUACCACCACCUCACUUACAGUCCCCACCGCCACCUCCGGCUCAACACGCACCACCGCCUCACUUACACUCUCCACCACCGCCUACGGCUCAACACCAACCACCGUCUCACUUACCGUCCCCACCGCCACCUACGGCUCAACACACACCACCGCCUC
Molecule: long non-coding RNA, 562 nt
Filed under: Triticum aestivum (bread wheat)
Lineage: Eukaryota; Viridiplantae; Streptophyta; Magnoliopsida; Poales; Poaceae
Description: long non-coding RNA (TAES_LNC020944)
Source: RNAcentral